GUGAGGAAUUUUCCGCAAUGGGCGAAAGCCUGACGGAGCAAUGCCGCGUGAAGGAUGAAGGCCUAUGGGUUGUAAACUUCUUUUCUCAGAAAAGAAUUAUGACGGUAUCUGAGGAAUAAGCAUCGGCUAACUCUGUGCCAGCAGCCGCGGUAAGACAGAGGAUGCAAGCGUUAUCCGGAAUGAUUGGGCGUAAAGCGUCUGUAGGUUGUUUAAAAAGUAUUCUGUCAAAGAUUAGGGCUUAACCCUAGAUAGGCAGAAUAAACUUUUAAGCUAGAGUUUGGUAGAGGCAGAGGGAAUUCCCGGUGGAGCGGUGAAAUGCGUAGAGAUCGGGAGGAACACCAAAGGCGAAGGCACUCUGCUGGGCCAAUACUAACACUGAGAGACGAAAGCGAGGGGAGCAAAUGGGAUUAGAUACCACGGUAGUCC
This 426-nucleotide ribosomal RNA is filed under the name uncultured bacterium. RNAcentral describes it as "partial 16S ribosomal RNA". It matches the Rfam family "Bacterial small subunit ribosomal RNA", at positions 354 to 796 of the family's 1533-position model. The record is from RNAcentral.